GGGAUAACAGUUGGAAACGACUGCUAAUACCGGAUGACGUCGGAAUCUCGCAUGGGAUACUGACGAAAGGGUUACUGGAUCGGGAGAGCCUCGCGGGCCUAUCAGCUUGUUGGUGAGGUAACGGCUCGACCAAGGCAUCGACGGGUAGCUGGUCCUGAGAGGAUGAUCAGCCACACUGGGACUGAGACACGGCCCAGACUCCUACGGGAGGCAGCAGUGGGGAAUCUUGCGCAAUGGGCGAAAGCCUGACGCAGCAACGCCGCGUGCGGGAAGAAGGCCCUCGGGUUGUAAACCGCUUUCAGAAGGAACGAAAAUGACGGUACUUUCAGAAGAAGGUGCGGCCAACUACGUG
This 352-nucleotide ribosomal RNA is filed under the name uncultured bacterium. Its description in RNAcentral is "bacterial SSU rRNA". It matches the Rfam family "Bacterial small subunit ribosomal RNA", at positions 140 to 507 of the family's 1533-position model. The record is from RNAcentral.